UUUCGGGAUCUUGAGAGCGGCGUACGGGUGCGGAACACGUGUGCAACCUGCCUUUAUCUGGGGGAUAGCCUUUCGAAAGGAAGAUUAAUACCCCAUAAUAUACUGAAUGGCAUCAUUCGGUAUUGAAAACUCCGGUGGAUAGAGAUGGGCACGCGCAAGAUUAGAUAGUUGGUGAGGUAACGGCUCACCAAGUCUACGAUCUUUAGGGGGCCUGAGAGGGUGAUCCCCCACACUGGUACUGAGACACGGACCAGACUCCUACGGGAGGCAGCAGUGAGGAAUAUUGGACAAUGGGUGAGAGCCUGAUCCAGCCAUCCCGCGUGAAGGACGACGGCCCUAUGGGUUGUAAACUUCUUUUGUAUAGGGAUAAACCUACCCUCGUGAGGGUAGCUGAAGGUACUAUACGAAUAAGCACCGGCUAACUCCGUGCCAGCAGCCGCGGUAAUACGGAGGGUGCAAGCGUUAUCCGGAUUUAUUGGGUUUAAAGGGUCCGUAGGCGGAUCUGUAAGUCAGUGGUGAAAUCUCACAGCUUAACUGUGAAACUGCCAUUGAUACUGCAGGUCUUGAGUGUUGUUGAAGUAGCUGGAAUAAGUAGUGUAGCGGUGAAAUGCAUAGAUAUUACUUAGAACACCAAUUGCGAAGGCAGGUUACUAAGCAACAACUGACGCUGAUGGACGAAAGCGUGGGGAGCGAACAGGAUUAGAUACCCUGGUAGUCCACGCCGUAACGAUGCUAACUCGUUUUUGGAAUGUAAGUUUCAGAGACUAAGCGAAAGUGAUAAGUUAGCCACCUGGGGAGUACGAACGCAAGUUUGAAACUCAAAGGAAUUGACGGGGGCCCGCACAAGCGGUGGAUUAUGUGGUUUAAUUCGAUGAUACGCGAGGAACCUUACCAAGGCUUAAAUGGGAAAUGACAGGUUUAGAAAUAGACUUUUCUUCGGACAUUUUUCAAGGUGCUGCAUGGUUGUCGUCAGCUCGUGCCGUGAGGUGUUAGGUUAAGUCCUGCAACGAGCGCAACCCCUGUCACUAGUUGCCAUCAUUAAGUUGGGGACUCUAGUGAGACUGCCUACGCAAGUAGAGAGGAAGGUGGGGAUGACGUCAAAUCAUCACGGCCCUUACGCCUUGGGCCACACACGUAAUACAAUGGCCGGUACAGAGGGCAGCUACACUGCGAAGUGAUGCAAAUCUCGAAAGCCGGUCUCAGUUCGGAUUGGAGUCUGCAACUCGACUCUAUGAAGCUGGAAUCGCUAGUAAUCGCGCAUCAGCCAUGGCGCGGUGAAUACGUUCCCGGGCCUUGUACACACCGCCCGCCAAGCCAUGGAAGUCUGGGGUACCUGAAGU
Molecule: ribosomal RNA, 1340 nt
Filed under: bacterium W43
Lineage: Bacteria
Description: bacterial SSU rRNA
Rfam family: Bacterial small subunit ribosomal RNA
Source: RNAcentral